UAUGGAUUUAAGUUAAAAUAAACUAAUAGCCUUCAAAGCCUUAAAUGACCUAAAGUCAAUCCCUAC
RNAcentral lists this transfer RNA (66 nucleotides) under Tchangsinaia piscicula. RNAcentral's name for it is "tRNA-Trp". The record is from RNAcentral. Lineage: Eukaryota; Metazoa; Mollusca; Bivalvia; Unionida; Unionidae.